Molecule: ribosomal RNA, 407 nt
Filed under: uncultured bacterium
Lineage: Bacteria
Description: partial 16S ribosomal RNA
Rfam family: Bacterial small subunit ribosomal RNA
Source: RNAcentral
AUUGAACGCUGGCGGCAGGCCUAACACAUGCAAGUCGAACGGAGUGGCGGACGGGUGAGUAAUGUCUGGGAAACUGCCUGGUAGCGGGGGAUAACGCCUGGAAACGGGCGCUAAUACCGCAUACUAUCAGAUGAGCCCAGGUGGGAUUAGCUAGUGGGUGGGGUAAAGGCUCACCUAGGCGACGAUCCGUAACUGGUCUGAGAGGAUGACCAGUCACACUGGAACUGAGACACGGUCCAGACUCCUACGGGAGGCAGCAGUGGGGAAUAUUGGACAAUGGGCGAAAGCCUGAUGCAGCCAUGCCGCGUGUAUGAAGAAGGUCUUCGGAUUGUAAAGCACUUUAAGUUGGGAGGCGUUACCAACAGAAUAAGCACCGGCUAACUUCGUGCCAGCCGCCGCGGUAAUUC